This 69-nucleotide transfer RNA is filed under the name Minervarya manoharani. RNAcentral's name for it is "tRNA-Arg". It matches the Rfam family "tRNA". Rfam says of the family: Transfer RNA (tRNA) molecules are approximately 80 nucleotides in length. Their secondary structure includes four short double-helical elements and three loops (D, anti-codon, and T loops). Lineage: Eukaryota; Metazoa; Chordata; Amphibia; Anura; Dicroglossidae. The record is from RNAcentral.
AAGACGCUAGUCCAAUUAAGACAACUGAUUUCGGCUUAGUAAAUCCUGGUUCAACUCCAUGGCGCCUUU